This 499-nucleotide ribosomal RNA is filed under the name uncultured bacterium. RNAcentral's name for it is "bacterial SSU rRNA". It matches the Rfam family "Bacterial small subunit ribosomal RNA", at positions 28 to 572 of the family's 1533-position model. The record is from RNAcentral.
AACGAACGCUGGCGGCAUGCCUAACACAUGCAAGUCGAACGAGACCUUCGGGUCUAGUGGCGCACGGGUGCGUAACGCGUGGGAAUCUGCCCUUCGGUUCGGAAUAACUCAGGGAAACUUGAGCUAAUACCGAAUGAUGUCUUCGGACCAAAGAUUUAUCGCCGAAGGAUGAGCCCGCGUCGGAUUAGCUAGUUGGUGAGGUAAAGGCUCACCAAGGCGACGAUCCGUAGCUGGUCUGAGAGGAUGAUCAGCCACACUGGGACUGAGACACGGCCCAGACUCCUACGGGAGGCAGCAGUGGGGAAUAUUGGACAAUGGGCGAAAGCCUGAUCCAGCAAUGCCGCGUGAGUGAUGAAGGCCUUAGGGUUGUAAAGCUCUUUUACCCGGGAUGAUAAUGACAGUACCGGGAGAAUAAAGCCCCGGCUAACUCCGUGCCAGCAGCCGCGGUAAUACGGAGGGGGCUAGGCGUUGUUCGGAAUUACUGGCGUAAAGCGNACGU